UACGGAGGGUGCAAGCGUUGUUCGGAAUUACUGGGGCGUAAAGGGCGUGGCAGGCGGUUGGUAAGUCAGAUGUGAAAGCCCUGGGCUCAACCCAGGAAGUGCAUUUGAAACUGCCAUCCUUGAGUAUGGGAGAGGAGAGUGGAAUUCCCAAUGUAGAGGUGAAAUUCGUAGAUAUUGGGAGGAACACCCGUGGCGAAGGCGACUCUCUGGACCAAUACUGACGCUGAGACGCGAAAGCGUGGGGAGCAAACAGGAUUAGAUACCCCUGUA
Molecule: ribosomal RNA, 270 nt
Filed under: uncultured prokaryote
Description: partial 16S ribosomal RNA
Rfam family: Bacterial small subunit ribosomal RNA
Source: RNAcentral